UACAGAGGGGGCAAGCGUUAUUCGGAAUUACUGGGCGUAAAGGGCGCGUAGGCGGCCGCCUAAGUCAGACGUGAAAUCCCUCGGCUCAACCGGGGAACUGCGUCUGAUACUGGGUGGCUUGGAGUUCGGGGAGAGGGAUGCGGAAUUCCAGGUGUAGCGGUGAAAUGCGUAGAUAUUGGGAGGAACACCAGUGGCGAAGGCGGCUGCACUGGACCGGAACUGACGCUGAGGCGCGAAAGCGUGGGGAGCAAACAG
Molecule: ribosomal RNA, 255 nt
Filed under: uncultured bacterium
Lineage: Bacteria
Description: partial 16S ribosomal RNA
Rfam family: Bacterial small subunit ribosomal RNA
Source: RNAcentral